Canis lupus familiaris (dog) is the source of this 5585-nucleotide RNA transcript. It is a transcript of the gene named WD repeat domain 26, with no coding region annotated. NCBI's taxonomy places the organism in Eukaryota, Metazoa, Chordata, Mammalia, Carnivora, Canidae. The transcript is spliced from 15 exons. The record is from RefSeq and is marked validated.
CUCGGCGUCGUCCUCCUCCUCCUCCUCCUCCGUGCUGGUGGUGGUGGGACUGCCCCCGGCCGCUGCCCCCGCCGCCGCCCCGCACCGGAGUAGCGGCCACAGCCUGGUCAGCGGCAGCAUCAUGCAGGCCAACGGGGCAGGAGGAGGAGGAGGAGGCGGCGGCGGCGGCGGCGGCGGCGGAGGGGGCGGCGGGGGCCAGGGACAGACCCCGGAGCUGGCCUGCCUGGCGGCCCAGAACGGGGAGUCGUCCCCGUCGUCGUCGUCGUCCGCGGGGGACCUAGCCCACGCCAACGGGCUGCUGCCCGCCGCCCCCUCCGCCGCCAGCAACAAUAGCAACAGCCUGAAUGUCAAUAACGGGGUCCCCGGCGGGGCCGCCGCCGCCGCCGCCGCCGCCGCCGCCGCCGCCGCCGCCUCGGCCGCCGCCGCCGCCGCCGCCGCCUCGGCCGCCACCCCGGAGCUGGGCAGCAGCCUCAAGAAGAAGAAGCGGCUCUCGCAGUCGGACGAGGAUGUCAUUAGGCUAAUAGGACAGCACUUGAAUGGCUUAGGGCUCAACCAGACUGUUGAUCUCCUCAUGCAAGAGUCAGGAUGUCGUUUAGAACAUCCUUCUGCUACCAAAUUCCGAAAUCAUGUCAUGGAAGGAGACUGGGAUAAGGCAGAAAAUGACCUGAAUGAACUAAAGCCUUUAGUGCAUUCUCCUCAUGCUAUUGUGGUAAGAGGCGCACUUGAAAUCUCUCAAACGUUGUUGGGAAUAAUUGUGAGGAUGAAGUUUUUGCUGCUGCAGCAGAAGUACCUAGAAUACCUGGAGGAUGGCAAGGUCCUGGAGGCGCUUCAGGUUCUGCGCUGCGAGUUGACACCCCUGAAGUACAAUACAGAGCGCAUUCACGUCCUCAGUGGGUAUCUGAUGUGUAGCCAUGCAGAAGACUUACGUGCAAAAGCAGAAUGGGAAGGCAAAGGAACAGCUUCCCGAUCCAAACUGCUGGACAAACUGCAGACAUAUUUACCACCAUCAGUGAUGCUUCCUCCACGGCGUUUACAGACUCUCCUGCGGCAGGCGGUGGAGCUACAAAGGGACCGGUGCCUAUAUCACAAUACCAAACUUGACAAUAAUCUAGAUUCUGUGUCUCUGCUUAUAGAUCAUGUUUGUAGUAGGAGGCAGUUCCCAUGUUAUACUCAGCAGAUACUUACGGAGCAUUGUAAUGAAGUGUGGUUCUGUAAAUUCUCCAAUGAUGGCACUAAACUAGCAACAGGAUCGAAAGAUACCACGGUUAUCAUAUGGCAGGUUGACCCGGAUACACAUCUGCUAAAACUGCUUAAAACCUUAGAAGGACAUGCUUACGGCGUUUCCUACAUUGCGUGGAGUCCAGAUGACAACUAUCUUGUUGCUUGUGGCCCAGACGACUGCUCUGAGCUUUGGCUUUGGAAUGUCCAAACAGGAGAGCUAAGGACAAAAAUGAGCCAGUCUCAUGAGGACAGUUUAACAAGUGUGGCUUGGAAUCCAGAUGGGAAACGCUUUGUGACUGGAGGUCAACGCGGCCAGUUCUAUCAAUGUGAUUUAGAUGGGAACCUCCUUGACUCCUGGGAAGGGGUAAGAGUGCAAUGCCUUUGGUGCUUGAGCGACGGGAAGACAGUUCUGGCAUCAGACACACACCAGCGGAUCCGGGGUUACAACUUCGAGGACCUCACAGAUAGGAACAUAGUACAAGAAGAUCAUCCCAUUAUGUCUUUUACUAUUUCCAAGAAUGGCCGAUUAGCUUUGUUAAAUGUAGCAACUCAGGGAGUUCAUUUAUGGGACUUGCAAGACAGAGUUUUAGUAAGGAAGUAUCAAGGUGUCACGCAAGGGUUUUAUACGAUUCAUUCAUGUUUUGGAGGCCAUAACGAAGACUUCAUCGCUAGUGGCAGUGAGGAUCACAAGGUUUACAUCUGGCACAAACGUAGCGAACUGCCAAUUGCGGAGCUGACAGGGCACACACGUACAGUGAACUGUGUGAGCUGGAACCCACAGAUCCCAUCCAUGAUGGCCAGCGCCUCAGACGAUGGCACUGUUAGGAUAUGGGGACCAGCACCUUUUAUAGACCACCAGAAUAUUGAAGAGGAAUGCAGUAGCAUGGAUAGUUGAUGGCGAAUGUGGAGCAGACGACUUCUGUUUAACUUAAAAUUAGUCGUAUUUUAAUGGCUUGGGAUUUGGUGCAAACAAACAUGAUUGAUAGCUGGACAGACAUGCUCGUCAUGAAAAAAGAACCAUUUCUGAAGCCCGAUUGGGGCCAAACAUUUACACCUUGCUUCAUAGUAACCAGUUGAGAUGAAGCACGUCGUUAGAACGUUGUUGGACACCAUGUUGAAUUAUCCCCCCAUCGGUUGUGAAGAACUGUGCUACAUUCAGGCUUACCCAUUGAACUCAGUAUAUAUAUUUUUUUCCCUCCUGCCUUUUGCCUGGUGGGAUACCAUUCUUGUUGCUCUUCUGUGUAAUGAAGUUUAAAUGCUUGUUUGGAAAACUUUAUUUAACAGUUUAGAAGGCUUGAUAGAAGGAGUGCAUUAGUCUGAAGAGUAUACAUUGGAUAGGAAAGAAUUUCCUUCUUUUGUUUCUCCAAAUCUUUCCGCCUUAUUUAGCUUGAGAUCUUUGCAGCUUGGUUCAUGGAUUCUAGCCUUGCCCGUUGCGCAGUAUAUACUGAUCCAGAUGAUAAACCAGUGAACUAUGUCAAAAGCACUCUCAAUAUUACAUUUGACAAAAAGUUUUGUACUUUUCACAUAGCUUGUUGCCCCGUAAAAGGGUUAACAGCACAAUUUUUUAAAAAUAAAUUAAGAAGUAUUUAUAGGAUUAAAGUGACUUCAUUUGUAUACAUUUGGAAUCUAAACCAGCUUCAAAAAGUUUCCUCUCUGACUUAGAUAUUACGCAGUAUAACUGAUGCUCUUCUGGAACCCCACGUGAGACUUGCCCAGAAACAGUGCUUGGAAGGACGUGGCACAGGAGACCCAGAGUCCCACCGGGAAGGUUUCCCCCCUUUUGUUUUAUUCCUGAAGGAACAUCAGUACCUGAUGUUGAAGAUAUUCAAGAUUCAAAAAGAGAAUUGUAAAUCUCUACUGACAGGAGAGAUGAAUAGUCAGUUUAAGUUUCCAGCCUGGGAAGGUGUUCUGGUGCAAAAUCAGGCGAGUGGAGCCGAGGCAUAACCACUGGGGGAGUCCAAGGAUGUUUGAGCUUGUCCGGAGUAUCAGCAGGUUACAGACAGGCCAAACUAGGUUUAACACCUCAUAGUCAUUGGUCUUAGUGGCCCUCACUAUUUUGUCCCAUAGAGAGACCUAAGUCCAGACUGCUCCUCCUCAGUUUUCCAGGUAUUGCCAUACUGAACCUCAUUCUACACUGGUGCUCUGGGUAGUCCUUGCCUUCCCCUCCCCUUAGUUGAAGGAAAGGUCUCCUUCGUGGGAAAGCACUUUUAAUCUUGAGAAUUUCACAUUUAAUUAAAGUAAGCCAGAAGCCUGAUGUUCACGUUGUGCUUUUAAACCCUGUAACAGCUGAAUGCAGCCGACUUCAUCUCCUUUGAGACUCCUUUCCCUGGUCAGCAGAGGCUCCCAGGGGCCCAGCUGUUAGACUGGGAGGAGGAAUGGGAGCACCCCUGAGAUAAGAUUCUGGCCAAGGAAAGGGCCUGUCUGUGCUAAGUCCCUUUGGGGCCCAGCCAGGCCUGCAGUCUGUCACCGCCCCAAGUGGGCACUAUCAGGACCCAGAGCGGCAGGGGGAAAGGCUUCAGUGUCAGGAAUCCUCCUGGGGCGCAGGCUGGGCUACAGGGAAGGGAGAGGACAGACAAAUGCAAUUGGCCUUAACAUGCAUGGGUCCUCCAGAAGCUCACAGAGUAAGACAAAGUGGCAGACCGUGGGCAGCAGAUUAUUUUAUCAAAUUGGUAUGUAAAAGAUUUCUUUAAGCUCCAUUUUGCAGAGACCACCACUUAGAGAAUCAAGAAUUCCUGUUUUGAUACUUCUGAGUUACAAAUAAGUAUAUGUUACAGUUUAUCUGGUACUUCAUUUUUCUUAACUCCAAUUACUUUUUACUUUGAGCUUGAAUAAAAGUCUUCAUUGGUAUCUGUAAGUAACUAAGUGGCAACUUCUCUUUACAUCAGUGCAGUUCAACCCGUUCCUGGUGUUAGUGAUUUGGUAAACCUCAAAACCGUUAAUGCAACCCAGUCUCCAGAAACAUCUGAACAUUUCUGUAGGCCGCCACGGCUUACAGAUCGAGUCGCCAUGUGCCCUGGCUGUUGUUUCCUGCACACGAGAACUGACCCUACCACCUCUGCUCAGCGGUCAAUACCGCACACCUCUUGAAAGGGAGAUCUCUGUGUCAGUUUCUCUGACAGCAGAAGAAUGACUACUCUUGAGUGGGGAGGACAGAAGACAGUUUCCUUAAUAUCCUUUGUGUCCCAUCUCUAAAAUGUGCAGAUAUCUAGAUUUCAUUUAGACUUUAGCAGCUCUCUUUUGGCCUUACACUCCAAAACAUGCAUUUUCAAAACCGUAUCUGAUUUAGCAUAAACAGCUAACUUUAAAAGAAGAGGUGAAUUUGCAUUUAUUUACACUUAGACACUUUCUAAAAACAGGGUGAACUUAAUUGAAAGUUUCAGUGUUAAGCUAUUGUUACAGUAGCUGCCCUAUAGUUGCAGAAACAAAAACUGUAAAACCCGUCCCCUGUCCACUUAAUCCAGAUAGGCUGGAUUUAAUGAAACUAAUAGUAUAAAAAUUGUGUGUGUGUGUGUGUGUGUGUGUGUGUGUGUGUGUGUUGUUUGUCUGUGUGGGAGAGAGAGAGAACUUAAUUCAUAAAGAGUCCUAGAAACUGCUUUCUGGGUUCUUGUCAUUUUACUAAGUCUCGUGCUUGUGUGAUGUGCCCUUUCUGAGUUUAGGGUCUGGUUAAUACUGGUAUAUUUUUAUAAGAUUGAGAUGUGUCCCCAUCUUUAACUCAAGCAUUUUCAUUAUCAGGGUCAAUGUGCUAAAACCGAAUCGUAACAUUUUUAGGCACAGAUGGAAAAAGAUGUCAUUGGCUCCUUGAAUGUGUGUGUGUGGCGAGGGGAAAAGAUCCGCAGAAGCAUGUUUGUACUUACAAACCAAGCUGUAGAGAUCAAGGAAAGAACUUGAGUGCUGAUCUCAAGAUACCUAACUUGUCGAGAUUCCCAUGGCAUUGUGGUGGAGCUAGUUAACACUUAGAGCUUUUGGUCUGUAAUAACUAUUUGCUAUGGACUGAUUCAGUGUUUCAAAGGAUUGUGUUCUUAAAUUUGGGGGGUUCUGUUUGUUUUUUUUUAACUGCCUCAGAUUCUAUUUAGUAGUUUAAAUUUCUUUGCUUUAUUAUUUCAUUAAAGCAUAAAAAAUUUCAGGUCUCAUAUUUAUUUUCACUUGUUCUACUAAUUAUUUACAAAACACCCUUUGUUAACUUUUAUUUUAUAAAUGUGUAGUAUAUUAAACGUCUUUUAAAAUUUUGUUCAAUUGAAACUACAUUAACUUUGAUUUGCUUUAAUGGGAUUUUUUUUUUUUAAAUACACCUUUUCCAUGUCAGUGCGUAGCACCUAACCAAUCGUUUGUAUUCCCUUUCAAUCCAAUAAACAGAAUGAAUAAGA